Molecule: long non-coding RNA, 763 nt
Organism: Drosophila pseudoobscura
Lineage: Eukaryota; Metazoa; Arthropoda; Insecta; Diptera; Drosophilidae
Exons: 2
Source: RefSeq, a predicted model, not a curated record
AUUAAGAACCCCAGCUUUAAAGUUCAAGAUAAAGAAAUAUUUGCGAUUUACGAUGUUCCACAUAUGAUUAACUCGCUAAGGAACAUUGUCCGAAAUAUAAAUCUUUAUACCCCUGAUGUCGUUGUUUUAUGGAAAAUAGUCGAAGAACUUUAUGAAAUCGAUUCCAGAAAUUCAACGCGACUCUGCCCGAAAAUAGCAACAAAGCAUAUACAUAUAUCCAAAUAGCUUUGAAGGUCAAAGCUGCCAAUCAAGUGUUUAGCCAUAGUGUGGCCGCGGCUCUUCGAACAAUGAUUAGUUCUGGAGGCUUCUUAAAGUGCAAAGAAAAUGCAGUUUGACCAGCGCCGUUAAUAUUGUGAGAGCUUCAUCAUUACAAUUCCAAAACUAAAAAAAUACACUCUUUUACCAUCGAACCUCCGUAGUGUCAGCGGCUCACUUCAUUUCACUUACGGUUGCCGCCUCCCUCCAUGUGACACUGAAGUUUUCAGUGGGGACUACCAGCAGUUACCCACGUUCCGAGACCUGUUCACCGCCAUCUACAUAGAAAACCCAAGGUUGGCUCCAGUGGAAAAACUGUUCCACCUCAACAAAAAGACCAGCGGUGAAGCCCACGACAUAGUGGCACAGGCUCCACUUACGAACGAGGGUUUCGCGUCCGCAUGGAACGCCCUCCGUGAGCGUUUCCAAAACAAGAGGCUGAUACUCAAGGCCCAGCUGAAGAUCCUUUUCAGUCUGCCCCAAAUCCGUACCGAGUCAGCAGCAGCGC